Molecule: ribosomal RNA, 464 nt
Filed under: uncultured Glomus
Lineage: Eukaryota; Fungi; Glomeromycota; Glomeromycetes; Glomerales; Glomeraceae
Description: SSU rRNA
Rfam family: Eukaryotic small subunit ribosomal RNA
Source: RNAcentral
AAGCUCGUAGUUGAAUUUCGGGAUCAAUAUUUCGGUCAUGCCGUUGGUAUGCACUGUUAUCAUUGAUUUCUCACCUUCUAAAGAACCGUGAUGCCAUUAAUUUGGUGUUACGGGGAAUUAGGACUGUUACCUUGAAAAAAUUAGAGUGUUUAAAGCAGGCUCACGCUUGAAUACAUUAGCAUGGAAUAAUGAAAUAGGACAUCCGAUUCUAUUUUGUUGGUUUCUAGGAUCGAUGUAAUGAUUAAUAGGGAUAGUUGGGGGCAUUAGUAUUCAAUUGUCAGAGGUGAAAUUCUUGGAUUUAUUGAAGACUAACUACUGCGAAAGCAUUUGCCAAGGAUGUUUUCAUUAAUCAAGAACGAAAGUUAGGGGAUCGAAGACGAUCAGAUACCGUCGUAGUCUUAACCAUAAACUAUGCCGACUAGGGAUCGGAUGAUGUUAAUUUUUUAAUGACUCAUUCGGCACCU